UACGUAGGGGGCUAGCGUUGUCCGGAAUCAUUGGGCGUAAAGAGCGUGUAGGCGGCCCGGUAAGUCCGCUGUGAAAGUCGGGGGCUCAACCCUCGAAUGCCGGUGGAUACUGUCGGGCUAGAGUGCGGAAGAGGCGAGUGGAAUUCCUGGUGUAGCGGUGAAAUGCGCAGAUAUCAGGAGGAACACCAAUUGCGAAGGCAGCUCGCUGGGACGUAACUGACGCUGAGGAGCGAAAGCGUGGGGAGCAAACAGG
RNAcentral lists this ribosomal RNA (253 nucleotides) under uncultured bacterium. RNAcentral's name for it is "partial 16S ribosomal RNA". It matches the Rfam family "Bacterial small subunit ribosomal RNA", at positions 524 to 776 of the family's 1533-position model. The record is from RNAcentral.